ACCUGACAGCCCUGUACAUUCGCUGUUCGCCUGGGAACUACGAGCGUAAGCUUAAAACCCAAAGGACUUGACGGUGCUUUACAUCCCCCUAGAGGAGCCUGUCCUAGAACCGAUAAUCCCCGUUCAACCUCACCUUUUCUUGCUUAUCCCGCCUAUAUACCGCCGUCUUCAGCUUACCCUGUAAAGGACCCACAGUAAGCGAAAUUGGUACAGCCCCAAACGACAGGUCGAGGUGUAGCGUAUGAAAAGGGAAGAGAUGGGCUACAUUCAGUGAAACACUGAAUACGGACAAUUAAUUGAAACAUUAACUUGAAGGAGGAUUUAGUAGUAAGCAGGG
This 337-nucleotide ribosomal RNA is filed under the name Hipposcarus longiceps (Pacific longnose parrotfish). RNAcentral's name for it is "partial 12S ribosomal RNA". It matches the Rfam family "Bacterial small subunit ribosomal RNA", at positions 838 to 1347 of the family's 1533-position model. Lineage: Eukaryota; Metazoa; Chordata; Actinopteri; Labriformes; Labridae. The record is from RNAcentral.